RNAcentral lists this long non-coding RNA (503 nucleotides) under Androctonus crassicauda. The record is from RNAcentral. Lineage: Eukaryota; Metazoa; Arthropoda; Arachnida; Scorpiones; Buthidae.
UUUUUAGUUAAUAAAUAUUAAUUUGGGCUGGAAAGGGUUAACGAAUUUCCCGAUUCAACGAAUUAUUUUCAUGGUCCCGACAAGAAUUGAUUAAAAUUCCCGGAUCUAACGAAUACAUAACCUCGAUUUAACGAACGCUCAAUGGAAUGUUUUUUAGAAAAAGAAUCGCAUAUUGGGGAAAAAUGUGUCAAAUCGCUUCCAAGAAAACUACUGUACGUAUUCAUUUAGACAUGAAUCAGUAUAAGUUUAGAAUCUGGGACUGUGUUCUGGUCACUGUAUCUCUCAGAGACGAAAGACGUGUCUACAUCAGUACAUAUGUACUGUAUACUGUAUUGUACCUGUAUGUUCUUAAAAUUUUAUUUUUGUAUAUUCACUAGUUAUACAGUACAGUACAAUAUAUGAUUCAUUGACUGGCAUUGUUUCUUAAGCAUAAUAGCGUUUAUUUUUGAUUAUCCGGAUUUAAUGGAUAAAAAUCUCAACCCUGCACGAUUCGUUAAAUUGGG